UCGCCGCUGGUCGCGUUCCUCGCUGUCCGUCCUUGCCGUUGCCCGGCGUCGUCGCCGACUGUCCUUGUGGCGGGCUCAGUCCUUGCCGGCCGAACUCGUCGCCGGGCUUCACCCAUGCUCUCGAGCAUCCCCCACCUAUGGGGCACACACGCCAUGGCAAAAGCUUCAACCGGGGCUUCAAAUAGCACGGCAAAUCAGGUUGCAGCUUUCGCCGUUCAUGGUUGUGGCCCUUUGCCGUUCAUGGUUUGUAGCAUUUGUUGCCGCCGGGCCGUCGUGGGUUUGAAGCUUCUUGUUAAAUGGUUGUAGCAAAUGAAGACACCGGUUGCAUCAAAAAAAAGUCAUCGCGGUCGCUGGUCG
This is a long non-coding RNA of Triticum aestivum (bread wheat), 357 nucleotides long. RefSeq lists it as uncharacterized. The transcript has 2 exons. The record is from RefSeq and is a predicted model, not a curated record. Lineage: Eukaryota; Viridiplantae; Streptophyta; Magnoliopsida; Poales; Poaceae.